RNAcentral lists this unclassified non-coding RNA (838 nucleotides) under soil metagenome. Its description in RNAcentral is "partial contains internal transcribed spacer 1, 5.8S ribosomal RNA, and internal transcribed spacer 2". The stretch from base 196 to 349 matches the Rfam family "5.8S ribosomal RNA". The record is from RNAcentral.
UCGAGUUUUGAACGGGUUGUUGCUGGCCUCAUACGGGGCAUGUGCACGCCUGACUUCAUCCACUCUUCAACCUCUGUGCACUUAUUGUAGGCUAGCGUGAAAGGUCGCAUUCAUUUGCGGCUGGAAGCCUGUCUACGUUUUACUACAAACGCUUCAGUUAUAGAAUGUUUAUCUGCGUAUAACGCAUUUAUAUACAACUUUCAGCAACGGAUCUCUUGGCUCUCGCAUCGAUGAAGAACGCAGCGAAAUGCGAUAAGUAAUGUGAAUUGCAGAAUUCAGUGAAUCAUCGAAUCUUUGAACGCACCUUGCGCUCCCUGGUAUUCCGGGGAGCAUGCCUGUUUGAGUGUCAUGGAAUUCUCAACUUCUAAUACUUUUUUGUAUCAGAAGCUUGGAUUUGGAGGUUUGUGCUGGCUCUAUGAGUUCGGCUCCUCUUAAAUGAAUUAGCGUGAAUCACUAUGGAUCGCUUCGGUGUGAUAAUUAUCUGCGCCGUGGUCGUGAAGUAUUAUUAAGUUCUCGCUUCUAAUCGUCCUUCAUAGGACAAUUAACCCUGACUUCUUGACCUCAAAUCAGGUAGGACUACCCGCUGAACUUAAGCAUAUCAAUAAGCGGAGGAAUCGCGAUCUUGGUCAUUUAGAGGAAGUAAAAGUCGUAACAAGGUUUCCGUAGGUGAACCUGCGGAAGGAUCAUUAUCGUAGAGCUUCGGCUCUUUCGAGGGAGAACCCUUGCCUUUUCGAGCACCUGUUUGUUUCCUCGGCAGGCCCGCCUGCCAAUGGGGACCUUUUUAAACCCUUGCGAUAACCUGAACAAAAAUCGUCUGAACAAAAAAAAAUCUAAAUCA